This 492-nucleotide ribosomal RNA is filed under the name uncultured bacterium. RNAcentral's name for it is "partial 16S ribosomal RNA". It matches the Rfam family "Bacterial small subunit ribosomal RNA", at positions 29 to 507 of the family's 1533-position model. The record is from RNAcentral.
AGUGAACGCUGGCGGUAGGCCUAACACAUGCAAGUCGAACGGCAGCACAGUAAGAGCUUGCUCUUACGGGUGGCGAGUGGCGGACGGGUGAGGAAUACAUCGGAAUCUACUUUUUCGUGGGGGAUAACGUAGGGAAACUUACGCUAAUACCACAUACGACCUACGGGUGAAAGCAGGGGAUCUUCGGACCUUGCGCGAUUGAAUGAGCCGAUGUCGGAUUAGCUAGUUGGCGGGGUAAAGGCCCACCAAGGCGACGAUCCGUAGCUGGUCUGAGAGGAUGAUCAGCCACACUGGAACUGAGACACGGUCCAGACUCCUACGGGAGGCAGCAGUGGGGAAUAUUGGACAAUGGGCGCAAGCCUGAUCCAGCCAUACCGCGUGUGUGAAGAAGGCCUUCGGGUUGUAAAGCACUUUUGUCGGGAAAGAAAAGCAGCAGGUUAAUACCCCGCUGUUUUGACGGUACCCAAAGAAUAAGCACCGGCUAACUUCGUG